Molecule: ribosomal RNA, 359 nt
Filed under: Lobulia elegans (elegant Lobulia)
Lineage: Eukaryota; Metazoa; Chordata; Lepidosauria; Squamata; Scincidae
Description: partial small subunit ribosomal RNA
Rfam family: Bacterial small subunit ribosomal RNA
Source: RNAcentral
AACACAAUAUUAUCCGCCAGAGAACUACAAGCGAAAAGCUAGAAACUCUAAGGACUUGGCGGUGCUUCAAACCAACCUAGAGGAGCCUGUCCUAUAAUCGAUAUUCCACGCUUAACCUUACCUCCCCUGGCCAACCAGCCUAUAUACCGCCGUCGUCAGCCUACCUUAUGAAAGAGUAAAAGUAAGCAAAACAGUUAACAACUAACACGUCAGGUCAAGGUGUAGCAUAUGGGGAGGACAGAGAUGGGCUACAUUUUUCAAAACGAACAUACGGAUAACACGUUGAAACGCAUGUUUGAAGGCGGAUUUAGUAGUAAGACAGAUAAGAAAAACUGUCUGAAGCCUGCUCUGAAGCGCGC